AAAGUGAAAGCAAAUAGGAGAGACAACACAUUCAAAGUGAAAUCCAAAGAUGGGGAAUACACAGAGUGUCCUUGAGAAGAAAGGAUACACUAUCCUGAGGAAGGCAGAGAAUGGUGUCAUAGCUACUGACAAAGAUGGUGACCAGUUUGUCAUUAAAGAGAUCAAACUGAAUGAGAUCAGUGCUGGAG
Coregonus clupeaformis (lake whitefish) is the source of this 188-nucleotide long non-coding RNA. RefSeq lists it as uncharacterized. The record is from RefSeq and is a predicted model, not a curated record. The transcript has 3 exons. NCBI's taxonomy places the organism in Eukaryota, Metazoa, Chordata, Actinopteri, Salmoniformes, Salmonidae.